GCUCUCUGCUCUUCAGCCACCGUGCAAGACAAUUUCAGCCAUAGAACCUAUGGACACUGCCCUUUGGGCAAAGGACACAGAGGGAGCUGUCAUGCAUAAAGUUAUCAGCACUCAAGAUGAAAAACGGAAGCCCUUCCUCGAGGCAGUCCACCUGCCUGGCAAACAGUUGUUUUUUUAAGUAGAACUAUUUAGGAGCACCUAUGGGUUAGAUAUGGGUUGGGGUAAAAGCCCACAGCUAUGGGGAGAGUAUCUGCUCUCCUCCACCACCCAUGACCAUCCGCAGGAGUUAGGUGCCAGAAUGGGAAUUGCGGGCGAGCGGGGACUUUGUUGUGCUCGAGAUGGAGCCUCCAGCACCGAGGACAGUGGCGGAUGCACAGUCGGGGCAGUAAACCUCUGCGCAGGUUUUCUCUUGGCAUCAGAAAGUCGCUUAUUCCAGGUGAGAAGUACAGUUGCAGUUUUAGUCUUGAACAUCAGCUUGGCUGAUGCUUGCCGAGGAAAAGACACACUACAGGGGCUCCAUCCUGGAAGCCAUAACUCUUCCCUGUGGAGAUGCAGCAGCCCAGAUCUAAAUCAGGAGAGAGCAUCUAGCCAAAAAGGCUGUGAGCACUAG
Molecule: long non-coding RNA, 610 nt
Filed under: Sus scrofa (pig)
Lineage: Eukaryota; Metazoa; Chordata; Mammalia; Artiodactyla; Suidae
Description: lncRNA (ENSSSCG00035056027.1)
Source: RNAcentral